GAUGAACGCUGGCGGCGUGCCUAAUACAUGCAAGUCGAGCGAACGGACGAGAAGCUUGCUUCUCUGAUGUUAGCGGCGGACGGGUGAGUAACACGUGGAUAACCUACCUAUAAGACUGGGAUAACUUCGGGAAACCGGAGCUAAUACCGGAUGAUAUUUUGAACCGCAUGGUUCAAAAGUGAAAGACGGUCUUGCUGUCACUUAUAGAUGGAUCCGCGCUGCAUUAGCUAGUUGGUAAGGUAACGGCUUACCAAGGCAACGAUGCAUAGCCGACCUGAGAGGGUGAUCGGCCACACUGGAACUGAGACACGGUCCAGACUCCUACGGGAGGCAGCAGUAGGGAAUCUUCCGCAAUGGGCGAAAGCCUGACGGAGCAACGCCGCGUGAGUGAUGAAGGUCUUCGGAUCGUAAAACUCUGUUAUUAGGGAAGAACAUAUGUGUAAGUAACUGUGCACAUCUUGACGGUACCUAAUCAGUAAGCCACGGCUAACUACGUG
This 497-nucleotide ribosomal RNA is filed under the name uncultured bacterium. RNAcentral describes it as "partial 16S ribosomal RNA". It matches the Rfam family "Bacterial small subunit ribosomal RNA", at positions 28 to 507 of the family's 1533-position model. The record is from RNAcentral.